RNAcentral lists this ribosomal RNA (2904 nucleotides) under Escherichia coli. RNAcentral's name for it is "23S ribosomal RNA". It matches the Rfam family "Bacterial large subunit ribosomal RNA". The record is from RNAcentral. Lineage: Bacteria; Pseudomonadati; Pseudomonadota; Gammaproteobacteria; Enterobacterales; Enterobacteriaceae.
GGUUAAGCGACUAAGCGUACACGGUGGAUGCCCUGGCAGUCAGAGGCGAUGAAGGACGUGCUAAUCUGCGAUAAGCGUCGGUAAGGUGAUAUGAACCGUUAUAACCGGCGAUUUCCGAAUGGGGAAACCCAGUGUGUUUCGACACACUAUCAUUAACUGAAUCCAUAGGUUAAUGAGGCGAACCGGGGGAACUGAAACAUCUAAGUACCCCGAGGAAAAGAAAUCAACCGAGAUUCCCCCAGUAGCGGCGAGCGAACGGGGAGCAGCCCAGAGCCUGAAUCAGUGUGUGUGUUAGUGGAAGCGUCUGGAAAGGCGCGCGAUACAGGGUGACAGCCCCGUACACAAAAAUGCACAUGCUGUGAGCUCGAUGAGUAGGGCGGGACACGUGGUAUCCUGUCUGAAUAUGGGGGGACCAUCCUCCAAGGCUAAAUACUCCUGACUGACCGAUAGUGAACCAGUACCGUGAGGGAAAGGCGAAAAGAACCCCGGCGAGGGGAGUGAAAAAGAACCUGAAACCGUGUACGUACAAGCAGUGGGAGCACGCUUAGGCGUGUGACUGCGUACCUUUUGUAUAAUGGGUCAGCGACUUAUAUUCUGUAGCAAGGUUAACCGAAUAGGGGAGCCGAAGGGAAACCGAGUCUUAACUGGGCGUUAAGUUGCAGGGUAUAGACCCGAAACCCGGUGAUCUAGCCAUGGGCAGGUUGAAGGUUGGGUAACACUAACUGGAGGACCGAACCGACUAAUGUUGAAAAAUUAGCGGAUGACUUGUGGCUGGGGGUGAAAGGCCAAUCAAACCGGGAGAUAGCUGGUUCUCCCCGAAAGCUAUUUAGGUAGCGCCUCGUGAAUUCAUCUCCGGGGGUAGAGCACUGUUUCGGCAAGGGGGUCAUCCCGACUUACCAACCCGAUGCAAACUGCGAAUACCGGAGAAUGUUAUCACGGGAGACACACGGCGGGUGCUAACGUCCGUCGUGAAGAGGGAAACAACCCAGACCGCCAGCUAAGGUCCCAAAGUCAUGGUUAAGUGGGAAACGAUGUGGGAAGGCCCAGACAGCCAGGAUGUUGGCUUAGAAGCAGCCAUCAUUUAAAGAAAGCGUAAUAGCUCACUGGUCGAGUCGGCCUGCGCGGAAGAUGUAACGGGGCUAAACCAUGCACCGAAGCUGCGGCAGCGACGCUGAUGCGUUGUUGGGUAGGGGAGCGUUCUGUAAGCCUGCGAAGGUGUGCUGUGAGGCAUGCUGGAGGUAUCAGAAGUGCGAAUGCUGACAUAAGUAACGAUAAAGCGGGUGAAAAGCCCGCUCGCCGGAAGACCAAGGGUUCCUGUCCAACGUUAAUCGGGGCAGGGUGAGUCGACCCCUAAGGCGAGGCCGAAAGGCGUAGUCGAUGGGAAACAGGUUAAUAUUCCUGUACUUGGUGUUACUGCGAAGGGGGGACGGAGAAGGCUAUGUUGGCCGGGCGACGGUUGUCCCGGUUUAAGCGUGUAGGCUGGUUUUCCAGGCAAAUCCGGAAAAUCAAGGCUGAGGCGUGAUGACGAGGCACUACGGUGCUGAAGCAACAAAUGCCCUGCUUCCAGGAAAAGCCUCUAAGCAUCAGGUAACAUCAAAUCGUACCCCAAACCGACACAGGUGGUCAGGUAGAGAAUACCAAGGCGCUUGAGAGAACUCGGGUGAAGGAACUAGGCAAAAUGGUGCCGUAACUUCGGGAGAAGGCACGCUGAUAUGUAGGUGAAGUCCCUCGCGGAUGGAGCUGAAAUCAGUCGAAGAUACCAGCUGGCUGCAACUGUUUAUUAAAAACACAGCACUGUGCAAACACGAAAGUGGACGUAUACGGUGUGACGCCUGCCCGGUGCCGGAAGGUUAAUUGAUGGGGUUAGCGCAAGCGAAGCUCUUGAUCGAAGCCCCGGUAAACGGCGGCCGUAACUAUAACGGUCCUAAGGUAGCGAAAUUCCUUGUCGGGUAAGUUCCGACCUGCACGAAUGGCGUAAUGAUGGCCAGGCUGUCUCCACCCGAGACUCAGUGAAAUUGAACUCGCUGUGAAGAUGCAGUGUACCCGCGGCAAGACGGAAAGACCCCGUGAACCUUUACUAUAGCUUGACACUGAACAUUGAGCCUUGAUGUGUAGGAUAGGUGGGAGGCUUUGAAGUGUGGACGCCAGUCUGCAUGGAGCCGACCUUGAAAUACCACCCUUUAAUGUUUGAUGUUCUAACGUUGACCCGUGAUCCGGGUUGCGGACAGUGUCUGGUGGGUAGUUUGACUGGGGCGGUCUCCUCCUAAAGAGUAACGGAGGAGCACGAAGGUUGGCUAAUCCUGGUCGGACAUCAGGAGGUUAGUGCAAUGGCAUAAGCCAGCUUGACUGCGAGCGUGACGGCGCGAGCAGGUGCGAAAGCAGGUCAUAGUGAUCCGGUGGUUCUGAAUGGAAGGGCCAUCGCUCAACGGAUAAAAGGUACUCCGGGGAUAACAGGCUGAUACCGCCCAAGAGUUCAUAUCGACGGCGGUGUUUGGCACCUCGAUGUCGGCUCAUCACAUCCUGGGGCUGAAGUAGGUCCCAAGGGUAUGGCUGUUCGCCAUUUAAAGUGGUACGCGAGCUGGGUUUAGAACGUCGUGAGACAGUUCGGUCCCUAUCUGCCGUGGGCGCUGGAGAACUGAGGGGGGCUGCUCCUAGUACGAGAGGACCGGAGUGGACGCAUCACUGGUGUUCGGGUUGUCAUGCCAAUGGCACUGCCCGGUAGCUAAAUGCGGAAGAGAUAAGUGCUGAAAGCAUCUAAGCACGAAACUUGCCCCGAGAUGAGUUCUCCCUGACUCCUUGAGAGUCCUGAAGGAACGUUGAAGACGACGACGUUGAUAGGCUGGGUGUGUAAGCGCAGCGAUGCGUUGAGCUAACCGGUACUAAUGAACCGUGAGGCUUAACCUU